CUAAUGAUCCUCCUGCUUCAGCUUCAUGAGUGCUGGGAUUACAGGCGUGUGCCCCCACACCCAGCAGGCCCAUCCUUCUUCAUGGGACGGUGACUGGCAUUCAGACCACGGCCACAGGCAAGCAGCACUUGGGCCAGACGAAGAGGCAGCGUGAAGGGGCACGGGACGUCACAGGCGGACACUGCACUGUGGAGGUGCACAGCCCGGGGACCCCGCUGGGACCCGAGUCCUGUGUCGCGGCCAUGGCGCCUCCAGUGACGGAUGGUCUUCAAUGGCUGUGCGCACGCAGGGAUGACUUCACCCAGGACACACCCGGAGAGGGAGCUAGAGUCGAGGCAGGCAGCACCUCAGCCCUACGGGACCUGCUUGGACUUGCUCAGUCUGACGAAUGAGAGGCUGUGUGCACCACAUGUGUGAGUGUGUGUGUCUGUCCCAGGGCCGGAGGGCUUAAGCCUGAUGGAGGAGGCGGACCUGGUGAAAAGACUCAGGGAAGCAGGGACCAAGGGGACUGGGUUCUCCCUUGACUGACUCAUUCUGUGACACUUCAGGGCAGGACACUUCCGAGCCAUCCCAGGGUCCCUGGUGUCAGGUGGAGCAGUCCUAGGAGGCCUCUGGGAGGAGACAAGGAGGCUGUGUCCCAUGGAAUACAGAACACACAGGAGAAAGCUGUCAAAGAUCAGAGCCUGGCUGUCCCUGCGCUCCCUCCGGAGAAGCCUGGCUCCCACACAGGCCCUGGGGCUUCUGCGGAGGGUUUGGUGUGGGCACUGGUGCUCCAGACACAUCCUUCCUGAUGCAGAGGCGGCCUGAUGCUGGACUCCAGCACAGGGAGGGGGCAGAUUCCAGCACAGGCUUGCUGCCUGCCCCCACCCUGCCCAUACCUUCACAGUGGGGCGGCCCAGUGGGGGCAGCAGCGGGAUAAGCCCCUCUCGAUGCGCAGAGCAGGACCGCCCUACAGUGUGCUCAUUCUUUGCUGUCUCCUGGUCAGAUCUCUUCAAAGUGACCACUCCACAGGGCUACAAGUUCUUCCUGGUGUCCAGGCUUAGUCACUCUUGCUGGUGCACCUGAUUCAUUUAUCAGAGGACAAGUCGAGGGCCCUAUUACCCUGCCACCCAGUCUGACAUCACUAAACUGUCCCUGGGCCAUGUUCCCACUCCCAGGUCUGCCCAGUGGCACAGGAAGUGGCUGCUGGAUGAAUGUGCAGGUGACUAAGGGCUUGGAUCUGCCUCCCAGGAAGUGGCUGAGAAGCAGCUAAGCAGCAGCUGGGUGCCUGGGGCCAGGGCUGAGACGGAGACAGAAACAGAGACCCAGGGGGCGGGCAGCUGGUCAGGACGAGCAGCACAGCUUAAGAGAGACCAAGCAGCCCCAGGGAGCGAGGUGUUCAAGGCUCAGAGGGUGCUGGCGUCAAGGGCCCAGCCAGGGCCAGGCCAAGGCUGGUGGGGUUAUGGGACACCCCUGGGACCCGGGGUGUGGGAAGUGGCCCAGGGCAGCAUGGCCUACCCUCACGUUGCAGAGUAAGGACCAGGACCCUGCCACCUGGUCACAGCCUGGGUCCCUGUUUCCUGUCAGGAGCCCUAGCCAGGCACAGUGCUGAGGUGGGGAUUUCCAGAGAUGGCCCUGAGGGUCAGAGAGGCCACAUGGCCUACAACUGCGUGCAAGGAAAGCUGUGGGGUUGGUCCCUCGUGUACUCCCUGACCCCCAGGCCUGUUUCAGGAGUCAGUUCAGGAGGUGACUGCUGCCCCAUCCGGUCCUGUACUUGGGCACGCUGGCACUGCCAGGCACUUACUUGGCCCGUUGAGGGCCCAGCCCCCAGCCCAGCACCCGCGGGCUUCCCCAGCCCUGGGUGAGGGCAGCAGAAGGAACAAAGGCGCAGUCUCUGCCUGCUCAAGCCCCCACCCCCUUGCCUGCCCCUGGCACAGAAGGACCAGGGCCCUGAGGGAGCCUGAGAGCGAGGGCAACACCCACCCUUGCCAGCACUGAGAGCCCUUCUUCCCCUCACCCCACGGUGCAAGCCCGCUGCGGAGCAACACGGUUUCUCCAUUCAGGAGCCCAGAGAACUAAGUGGGAGACACAGGGCCAGCACUCACACGGCUGCGACUGGAACCCAGGGCCCACGGUUGGCGGAACCCGGCCUCUGCCCGUCACAGGCCAGGCCGUGAAGGCAGUGACUGUGUCCUGGCCCUGUGUGACUGCGGGUGGCGAGGGGACAGGGUCGGGGAAGGCACAGCCAGGGCAACCCGAUGGGAAAGACCGGAAGGGCCGUGUUGCUCUCAGCCUGCCCACCCUGCUGACCACCUCCUACCUGGGGCCACCCGGGCCUGAUCACACAGCCUGCUGAAGGGACACAGCUGUUGGAAGCAGAAGUGGGGGAACUGAGUUGGCACCCAGGCCUCCUAAGUCCCUGCUUGGGGCUCACCUGACGCAGCCAGGGAGGCAUACCCUGCUUGGAACUUCACAUCCACCCUACUGGAAACAGGGUUGAGGCCCCUGGGAGUGCCCCUUCCUCCCCACAGCCACGGCCACCAUCCUCAGGUCUUUCCCUGCCCCUGGCUGCAGCCUGGGCCUCUCUCUGCCCACACCCUGCCUGUGGAAGCCUUGGUGAUGCAGGCCCGAGCAGGGCUGAUGCCUCCUUGCAAACUGAGGCCCUAAGCAGCACAUGAACAUAACGAGCUCCCCAGGCUCAUGUGAACGGCGCCCACUGUCUGUCUGUGUGCUGGUCCAGCUCUACAGAUGGAAGCCGGGGUGCUCCCACCUCGGGGGCACCUCCGGCUUGUCUAUACAAGUACCUAGCAGACAAAAGGGAGGUCCAGGCCACGCCUCAUGGAACCAGUGCCCCACAUCAAUGCCCCAGGCCCGCUGCCCUUACCAAACACCAGAACUCAUUUUAAAGAAAAAAUAAUAUUUAUUUGCAAUAUAAACAAAGUCCUGUUGCUGGUUUGGGAGAUAUAUAUAUAUAUAUAUAUGUAUGUGUGUGUGCGUGUAUGUGUGUGUGUGUAUAUGUAGGGUCACAAAUUUUCCUUCAUAAGCUCAUAAAGCAAAACUGGCCACCCUCUGGCAUAUCAUGUACACAACUCAGACACAUCUUUCUGGGUUUUUCUUUUUUGAAAAAUAAAGAGAGAGAAAGAGAACCAUGUA
Chinchilla lanigera (long-tailed chinchilla) is the source of this 3132-nucleotide long non-coding RNA. RefSeq lists it as uncharacterized. Lineage: Eukaryota; Metazoa; Chordata; Mammalia; Rodentia; Chinchillidae. The transcript is spliced from 2 exons. The record is from RefSeq and is a predicted model, not a curated record.